GGUGAACGCUGGCGGUAUGCCUAAAACAUGCAAGUCGCGCGGAUGCAGCAAUGUAUUAGCGGCGGACGGGUGAGUAACACGUAGGUGACCUGCCCUAAAGUCUGGGACAACUAAGAAAAAUCUUAGCUAAUUCUGGAUGUGAACACUGAUUGUGGUUGGUGUUUAAAGCUACGGCGCUUUGGGAUGGGCCUGCGGUGCAUCAGGUAGUUGGUGGGGUAAAGGCUCACCAAGCCCACCACGCAUAACUGGUCUGAGAGGACGAUCAGUCACAGGAGCACUGAGACACGGGCUCCUCUUCUACGGAAGGGAGCAGUUAGGAAUUCUCCCCAAUGGGCGAAAGCCUGAGGGAGCGAUACCGCUUGAAGGACCAACCCCCUCGGGGUGUAAACUUCUGAACUCAGGACGAUAAUGACGGUACUGAGGUAAUAGCACCGGCUAACUCCGUGCCAGCAGCCGCGGUAAUACGGGGGGUGCAAGCGUUACCCGGAUUUACUGGGUGUAAAGGGCGUGUAGGCGGUUUUUCAAGUCCGAUGCUAAAGACCGAAGCUCAACUUCGGGGAGUGCGUUGGAUACUAUGAGACUAGAC
RNAcentral lists this ribosomal RNA (586 nucleotides) under uncultured bacterium. RNAcentral's name for it is "bacterial SSU rRNA". It matches the Rfam family "Bacterial small subunit ribosomal RNA", at positions 28 to 646 of the family's 1533-position model. The record is from RNAcentral.